Molecule: ribosomal RNA, 3189 nt
Filed under: Triticum aestivum (bread wheat)
Lineage: Eukaryota; Viridiplantae; Streptophyta; Magnoliopsida; Poales; Poaceae
Description: partial small subunit ribosomal RNA
Source: RNAcentral
AUGGGUCUUCCGAGUCCAGGGUGGAGCUCGUGCCUCCGCCAUGGCUCCGUGCUCCUCUUGCCGCUGCUCCUGUCAGCCCUGCUGUGUUCUUCCUGGAGGGCGGCCGCUCAGGCUCAGGCUCCGCCGCCGCCGCCGCAGACCGACCCGACCGAAGCGGCGGCCGUGAACGCGAUACUGGGGAAGCUGGGGCUAGCGGCGCCGGCGUCGUGGAACAUCAGCGGCAACCCCUGCAGCGGCGCCGCCACGGACGACACGCCGCUGGACGACAACCCCAACUUCAACCCGGCCAUCAAGUGCGACUGCACCGACCAGAACGGCACCCUCUGCCACGUCACCAGACUGAAGAUAAACUCGCUGGACGCGGCUGGCCCCAUUCCGGAAGAGUUGCGGAACCUCACCCACCUCAUCAAACUGGACUUCAGGAAAAAUAGCUUGACCGGCCCUUUGCCAGCGUUCAUCGGAGAACUGACUGCGCUGAAGUACAUAACCGUGGGCACCAAUGCAUUAUCCGGACCUGUCCCAAAGGAGCUUUGGAAUCUUACAGAUCUCGUAUCACUUGCAUUGGGCUCAAACCAUUUUAACGGCUCACUUCCAGAUGAGCUGGGAAAAUUGACAAAGCUUCAGCAGCUGUACAUUGAUAGUAAUGACUUCACUGGUUCUCUACCAGCGGCGCUGUCCCAGCUUACAAACCUUUCAACCUUGUGGGCAUCAGACAAUAGUUUCACCGGGCAGAUACCUGAUUUUCUUGGGAGUUUGACCAACAUGACCCAACUGAGGCUCCAAGGGAACUCUUUUCAAGGACCGAUUCCCAGAAGUCUUUCUAAUCUUAUCAAGUUGACAAGCCUGAGAAUAGGCGAUAUUGUAAAUGGAAGCUCUUCAAUGGCGUUUGUCGGAAACAUGAAAUCUUUGGGUGAACUAGUAUUGAGGAACGGCAAGAUAUCUGACACACUUGCAUCAGUAGACUUCUCCAAAUUUGUAAAUCUGACUUUACUGGAUUUGAGUUUUAACAAUAUCACAGGCCAAAUGCCUCGGUCAAUCUUUGAUCUUCCUAUGCUUAGUUAUCUAUUUCUUGGCAAUAAUAGCCUUUCGGGAAGUCUACCAGCCACGAAAUCUCCGCUACUCGCCAAUUUAGAUUUUUCAUACAACCACCUCUCAGGAAGCUUUCCUUCUUGGGUUACCCAGAAAAACCUACAAUUGAAUUUGGUGGCAAAUGACUUUGUGAUCGAUAGCUCCAAUAACAGUGUUUUGCCGUUUGGGUUGAAUUGUCUUCAGCGAAAUACCCCCUGUUCUCUUGGCUCUCCGCACUCUUCCUCCUUAGCGGUGGACUGUGGUGGUAGUAGAACCAUAUCAGGCUCAGACAAUGCCAUGUAUCAGGCUGAUAAUGCCAAUCUUGGUGCUGCAUCAUAUUAUGUUGGGGGUGCACCUAUCUGGGGUGUUAGCAGUAGUGGAAGAUUCAUGGACCCACCCAAUGGAAGUUACAUAAUCUACAGUUCACGCCAAUUUCAGAACACACUAGAUUCUGGACUGUUCCAAACAGCAAGGAUGUCACCAUCGUCUUUGAGAUACUAUGGCCUUGGACUCGAGAAUGGAAACUAUACAGUGACACUUCAGUUUGCAGAGUUUGACUCCCCUGAUCCACAGGCUUGGAAAAGCAGAGCGAGAAGAGUUUUUGAUAUCUAUCUCCAGGGAGAGCGCAGGGAGCAGAACUUCGACAUAAGAAAGGCUGCAGGAGGGAAAUCUUUCGUUGUUGUAAAGAAGCAGUAUGUUGUUCCUGUGGUAAAAAACUUCCUUGAGAUUCAUCUCUUCUGGGCUGGCAAGGGUACUUGCUGCAUUCCUACUCAAGGCUACUAUGGGCCUGCAAUAUCGGCUUUGAGCGCAACCCCAAAUUUCAUCCCUACUGUGCAUUACUCUGUGGACAGCAAGAGCAGCAAUAAAACUGGUGUGAUUGUUGGAGUCGUAAUUGGUGUUGCUGUUUGUUUGCUGGCUGCUCUUGCUGGAGUCUUUGUAUGGAGGCAGAAAAGGAAAAAAAUGUUAUUGGAGUUAGAAGAGCUGUACACUAUAGUUGGAAAACCAAAUGUAUUCAGUUAUAGUGAGCUAAGAUCAGCCACAGAAAAUUUUGAUUCCAGUAACCUACUUGGUGCAGGAGGAUAUGGAUCGGUUUACAAGGGUAAGUUAAGUGAUGGAAGAGUGGUGGCAGUGAAGCAGCUCUCUGAAUCAUCUAAUCAGGGGAAAGUUCAAUUUGCUACAGAAAUAGAGACUAUAUCAAGGGUGCAACACCGUAAUCUCGUGAAGUUGUAUGGCUGCUGCCUCGAGAGCAAGACACCACUGUUGGUUUAUGAGUGCCUGGAGAAUGGAAGCCUUGAUCACGCACUGUUUGCAAAGGGAGGCUUGAACCUAGACUGGCCAAGACGAUUCGAGAUAUGCUUAGGCAUAGCAAGAGGUAUAGCUUAUCUUCACGAGGAGUCGAGCGUCCGCAUUGUGCACAGGGACAUUAAGGCCAGCAAUGUCUUGCUAGAUGCCGAUCUCAACCCAAAGAUCUCGGAUUUCGGGCUUGCCAAGCUUUAUGAUGACAAGAAGACUCAUGUGAGCACAAAAGUUGCAGGCACAUUUGGUUACCUUGCACCUGAGUACGCCAUGAGAGGUCACAUGACUGAGAAGAUUGAUGUUUUUGCAUUCGGCGUGGUAGCGCUGGAGAUUGUUGCUGGUGAAUCAAACCAUCACACCACGCUUGAAGAGGAGACAACUUAUAUAUUUGAAAAGGUGUGGGAUCUUUACGAGAACGGCAACCCCCUGGACUUCGUGGACCCCAAGCUCUCGAAGUUCAAUAGUGAGGAGGUGCUCCGGGUGAUCCGCGUCGCGCUCAUCUGCACCCAGGGAUCGCCCCACCGUCGGCCGUCCAUGUCAAGGGUGGUGUCGAUGCUCACGGGAGACGCCGACUUGGCCGGGGAGGAGGUGAUCAAGCCGAGCUACAUCACGGAGUGGCAGGUCAAGGCCGGGAGCAGCAGCAGCUACACGGGCACGAGCAGCCAGGCCGGCCUGUCGUCAUCGUCGACCACGCAGCAGUCUUCCGGCGGCGGCCAUGCUGCGGGUGGGGAUGCCACGCCGGCGACCGGAAACCCGUCGCCGAUGUUCACCUCCAUCAUCGACGAGGGCAGGUGCACAUCACAUCUAUUUAUACAUCAGAGCUGA